This 460-nucleotide ribosomal RNA is filed under the name uncultured bacterium. RNAcentral describes it as "partial 16S ribosomal RNA". It matches the Rfam family "Bacterial small subunit ribosomal RNA", at positions 338 to 795 of the family's 1533-position model. The record is from RNAcentral.
CCUACGGGUGGCAGCAGUGAGGAAUAUUGGUCAAUGGGCGCAAGCCUGAACCAGCCAAGUCGCGUGAGGGAAGACGGUCCUAUGGAUUGUAAACCUCUUUUGUCGGGGAGCAAAGCGCGGUACGAGUACCGCGAAGGAGAGUACCCGCAGAAAAAGCAUCGGCUAACUCCGUGCCAGCAGCCGCGGUAAUACGGAGGAUGCGAGCGUUAUCCGGUUUUAUUGGGUUUAAAGGGUGCGUAGGCGGAGUUGUAAGUCAGGGGUAAAAAUGCGGUGCUCAACGCCGUAUCGCCGUUGAAACUGCAGGUCUUGAGUGAGCGAGAAGUAUGCGGAAUGCGUGGUGUAGCGGUGAAAUGCAUAGAUAUCACGCAGAACUCCGAUUGCGAAGGCAGCAUACCGGCGCUCAACUGACGCUGAGGCACGAAAGUGUGGGGAGCGAACAGGAUUAGAUACCCUUGUAGUC